RNAcentral lists this transfer RNA (74 nucleotides) under Planctomycetes bacterium ADurb.Bin069. Its description in RNAcentral is "tRNA-Gln". It matches the Rfam family "tRNA". Rfam says of the family: Transfer RNA (tRNA) molecules are approximately 80 nucleotides in length. Their secondary structure includes four short double-helical elements and three loops (D, anti-codon, and T loops). Lineage: Bacteria; Pseudomonadati; Planctomycetota. RNAcentral also lists the same sequence under 1 other name. The record is from RNAcentral.
UACCCGGUGGUGUAACGGUAACACAGCAGGUUUUGGUCCUGCAUUUCGAGGUUCGAAUCCUCGCCGGGUAGCCA